CAUCGCUUCACCCUUGCUACCUUAUCUUCACCUUCGAGGACUCCCAUCCACAUCUCUUUUACCUUCCAUCUUCUUCUCUCCUUCCCCAGCAUAUUCAGCGUCCUCCAUCACGCGCGCCUAUGAUGGAGAGCACCGUACCCAUGGAGUUUCCUUUCGAGCCAGGCGAGGAGGCAGGGGCCUUCUUUGACAUUGGAGCUGGGCGGAUGUGUUGGGUCAGGGCUUCUGGCGAUUAGGCGAUAGCGUGCCCUGCUUUGUCAUUGGACGUGUUCAUCCAGUGUGAGCAUUCCACUUCUUCCAUGGCAUUCUGAUCGCGUUCAGGACCUCUUCAUCGCCGAGCAGUGCUCCUCCCUGUUGAUCUUUUUAGCUUGAUGUGUAGGAGGCUUGUGAGCUGCUUUCCAGCACCUUUGUAUCUUGCCGUUUUCUUUUCUUUCUUGUGCUGGUUCCGAGUUGUAAUCCUAGCCGGUUGAUGGCUUUGUUAAUUCAAAACUGGGCCCUUCUUGAGCUU
Long non-coding RNA from Triticum urartu, 505 nucleotides. RefSeq lists it as uncharacterized. The record is from RefSeq and is a predicted model, not a curated record. NCBI's taxonomy places the organism in Eukaryota, Viridiplantae, Streptophyta, Magnoliopsida, Poales, Poaceae.